Molecule: long non-coding RNA, 5665 nt
Filed under: Vigna radiata
Lineage: Eukaryota; Viridiplantae; Streptophyta; Magnoliopsida; Fabales; Fabaceae
Description: long non-coding RNA (VRAD_LNC003430)
Source: RNAcentral
CCUCACGAUCUUCUAAUUCUAAUAAGAACAAGAAAUCUUUCGCGAUCAAUCCUUUUGCCCCAUUCUUCAAUAAUCAGAAAGAUCCUUUUCAAACAAGUUUGAAUUUUUUCGUUUGGAAUCAGGACUCUUCUACUGCAUUUUUAUUUACUUUCUUUUUUUCUUUUCUUUCAUCAUUCCUUAACUCCCACAAGGUUUGGUCCUGUAGAAUCUGACCCAUUUCAUCAUUGAGCGAAAAGUACGAAAAAAAUCAGAUCGAUUUUUCGAUCAAAAGUACUAUGUGANUAAUCGAUUACAACAUGUUCAUAAUCGAUUGUAUCAGUAAAAAUUACAAUAUUAAUUAUUUUCCUACUACAUUCAAGAUACUACAAGUUGCUUUUAAAUAUUCUCUUAUUACAAACAAAGAUUACAAUUUGCAGCAUCAUCGAAACUUGUCUUCAGGUUUUACCAAUACCCCUUUAUUGGUAACAAUCCCAUCCAGGAUCGUUACUGUUACCAUACUGAGCAGGGAAGAAUUUAUACAAAAAUGUAUGCUUAAGAUCUUCCCAAGAAGUGAUGGAUCUUGGAGGAAGACAAUACAGCCAACCCCUUGCCGCUUCUUGUAAUGAAUGCGGAAAUGCCCUUAAAAACACUUCUUCAUCCGGGACAUUGAUGAAGGUUCAAAAAUAGUUAUUUUCAUGUGUCAUUUUAGACCUAAUUACGCCCUUUACUACUUGGAAUGAGCUUAGAAUCAAGCAAAACUCAAUAAAUGACUCUGUAGAGAGUCAAAAGCUGUUUUUAGCGAUAUUAUGCUUGUUUUGCAUUGUUUUGUAGCUAUUUUGAGGAAAUGAAGAAUGGAGUUGAAGAUAAAGGUCGUAGACUCAAGAAAAGGGAAGAAAAUUGAAGAUUUGAAGAGUCGACACACCGCCCGGCGGCAACUUACACCGCCGGGCGGUCCAGGGCGAGGAGUAGGCACCAGCGUUGGCGCUGGGCGGUUUUGAGGGAAACCGCCGGGCGGUGACGACUGCCGCCGGGCAUUUUGAGAAUCAAAGUCAGCAGAAUAUGCACGAGAAGCAAUAUCAGAGUUAACUGCCGAAGGAGAAUCAAAGUCAUGGACAUAGGCAGAACAAACAGUAUCCACAUAACCAAAAUAGGUAGACAUGGGAAAGAAGGGAAAAGAAGAAUGCAAUGAAAAUAUGCAACUAAAGCUACCUAAAUGCAACACACAAUGACGAACACACAAAACAGAACAAUGCACUCACAACACAAGACAAAACACAACACACACAAACACAACAAAAGACCUAAAACUGAACCGUUGGUCCCCGGCAACGGCGCCAAAAUUUGAUGGGUGUCGCGGCCUAUACAAAUUUGAUUGCAUAUGAGAAAUGCAGUAUAGCUAGGAAGUUACUCCUAGGUCGUCUCUCAAGGACCAACUACGGUUCGAGAAUUAGGUCAGACACGAAGUGGGGGGGUUUGAAAGGUUUUGUGACUGCAAAAGAACUAAAUUAAGACAUAGAUGCAAACACAAAAGCAAACACAGAUGUAAAAACUAGUUCAAAGACAGAAUGAAAAUGGUCGGUCAUUAACUCAAUUAAAAUGCUUUCAAUCCCAGAUCAAAGACAAAUACCCACUACUCUAAUCCAAAUCCGACACGAAUCACCCAACUAAGCGAAGGUUAAUUCGAUCUUCAAAAUUGCAAACUAAGCGAAUGCAAUGCUCAAAUUUAAUCAGUCAUACACCAUACAGUCUAAUCAACUAAGCGAAGAUUAAACACCGACUAGGCAACUAAGCGUAUACCGAAUCGCAGGCAGACAACAGAUUAAAUAUUGAGCAGAAUCAAAGUAGCAGUAUGGCAAUUAAACUGCAAGAAUCUCAUGGAAACUAUGUAAUUUUAUUAACGACCAACCAAAUAACCUAAGCUAACAUUGUAGUUAAAUUAACACAAUCAAACAGAAUAAACAUCAUGAUGAAUGCAACUUGAACUCAAACAUCCAAUGCAAAAGUGUUGGAACCUAUUUAAGUGCAACUCAUAAAUCAGCAAUGUAUAAGUUAGAAAUUAGAAAUAAAGUUUAAAAUCAUUAAACCCAUUUUCCGUGAUGGUGAGCCAUUAAAGACAUGAAUAAUGGUGGAUGUGAUAGCCAUGAGUCUAGCCAUGAGUCUCCAACCAAGACGUAUGCUUUUCCAAAUGGAUAAGCGUUUUUCACUAACAGAAAAAAAAAAAAAAAUUGGUGCUUGCUACAAGAAUGAGCUCUUCCCUAAUAAAAUCAACACCUUCUCCGUUCCAGCAACUUCUAAUAAAACUAAAACCUUGUGCAGCUCCAAAUAAAUUCACGGUGUAAGUGCUUUAAUGCCACACUUUCUUCCAACUUCAUGAUAUAACCCGCAGCCACUAAUAGCAAAAUGGUAAAGCACGACUCCAAUUAAAGAAAGGAGAAAUAAAUCUCAGUUUUCAGCUUCAGCGUGUGCAACUUAUGGUCGUGACACCUCAGCUUCCCAAAUGAAAAAUGCAUCUAUCAAACCACGUACACACCCUUCAACAGUGAAAGCUUACAUACAUUCAGGAAAUAAUAAAAAAAACGUUAAAAGCAAACUCAAGGGAGAGUGGCGACUGCUAGCUACAAGGCACCGUUCUUCAUUCAUCCAUAAUCGUCCAGUGUAAACAUUGUUCAAGGCUUUCUAAAAAAAACAUUAAGCACCCUCCCAGCCGAAUGCCAAACUAAAUGAUGGUUGGAUACAUUUCCAAUCCCUAGGCCAUGUGUCAUGUAAUGAGGGUGGGGUCCACCCAAAAAAAAAUAAACCCAAGGGUGCCAAGUGUCUUCCUACCAAUUGCGCUCAACAACAAAUUCCAAAAAUUGGCCCACAAUGUAAAACUUUGUCUAAAAAAACUAAACUUCUAAAUUACAAUUUUGAUUAAUUCUAAACUACUAAAUUAAAAUAUAACUAAUCACUACUGCAAAAACACUGUUUAACGUCGGUUAAUUUGGGCAUUUUACGUCACCUUCACAUCCGACGUUUAUACGGGUGACGACUAUGGGACGUCCCAAUUCCUCAGAACCGACGUUCAUAUAAACGUCGGAUAACGAUAUACACUGACGUCUAUAUAGACGUCUGCUUAUACUCACAUCGACGUCUAAUUACUCUAUAUAGACGUCCACCUAUGACUAAACCGACGAAAACAUGAAUAUAUAAAGAGGUUUAAAAUGACACUAACCGACAUCUAUGUUGUUCUAGACGUCGGACAUGGCUUUAACCGACGUCUAACAACAAUUUUGUAUUUUAGUGCAGUUUUGAUCCAAGCUUUCGGUAGCAUUGUGUAACACUCUCCUCUCGCUAGUUUCCCCACAAAAAAAGCUUGCGUCUUUUGAAUCUUCUACUGCUUUCAACCCAAAACUAAACCUGGGUCCAUGGCUACUUCCCAUUAUUCAACCGCAACAGAAAAAAGUUGCGGUGUCGAGAAGUAGACAAGGACCCAAGUUCCAUUUUGGGUCGGAAGAACUAGAAAACUCAAAAGAUCGCCACUCUUCUUGUGAGGAAACCAGCAAAGGGAGAAUGUUACACUAUGUUACCCAAAGAGAGAUCAAAACUGCACUAAAACACAACACAACGAAAGCAAAUUUUAAUCAGUUGAACGAAAAGAUAAUGGAUAAAAAACUAAAGAAAGUUUAAACAAUAAGCAUAAAAAAAACCACGCACCUGGGAUGCAAAAGAGAAAAAGGAGAUGACGAAGACAAUAUCUUUAUGAGAAACGAUAAUGCAAUGCCGCAAGAGAUAAAAAGUAGAGGUGCGCAAGCGAGUAAAAGAAGAGGAGAAUCAGAGAAAAAGGAGAAGAAAUGAAGACGCGAUCAGAAACUGAAUGGCGUAAAGAGUCUGCGGUCUAUUUAAAAUGAAAUGGGGCGUCGAUUGCUCCAGAAACCGACGUCUAGGAAGCUAAAAAGAUUGACGUUUUGGUUUCCUGUCAGGGUAGUUCACGUCGGUGCCCCUCAAAGCCGACGUCUAAAACCCUCGAAAUUGGUGAAAAUACAGGAACGUAGAUGUCAGUGCCCCUCAGAACUGACGUCUACAUUGAAGAAUUUUUGUCUUCCCGCCUUCCAGACAGGCCUUAGACGUCGGCGUUUGACUACGUGAUGUCUAAUUGCCUGGGGCAUUAGGUGAACCGCAUUGAUUGUAGCCUAAUUGACAUUGCUUUUUCACGGGAUCCGACAUCUAUUCGAUGUCUAAAGCUUAACCGGUUGACGUUUGAUUUCCUGUCAGUGACGUAGACGUUAGUGCCCUUGCUAGCCGACGUCUAAGCUCCUGGGAAUUUGAUGGGCAACAUUAAUUGCAACCUAGUAGACGUCGGUCCCCUCAAACACCGACGUUAAUGGACUAUCUUAUCACAUACCUCAGGCAAUUAGACGUCAGUUUGCGGCAAGUGAGACGUCUAUGAUGUGAUAGACGUUGCCUGAUAUCGAAACGGACGUCUAGUUUCCCAAUUUAUUUACGAUAAUGCCACCGUGCAGUAAUAGACGUCGGAUUUUCACGAAACUGACGUCUAAGGGGUGACGUUAAACAGUGUUUUUGCACUAGUGAAUUCUAAAUUGUCCAUGCGGGGAGUCUUGAAUUAAUUUGUCUCCAUCCCAAUGCUCCAAAAUAUAUCUCCAAAAUUUUCCUGCAAUUAAAAAUGCAAAUAAUAAGCUCAGAAUAUUCAAAUUAAUUGAAAUUAGAAUUUCCGAUCAAAUUAAGCACAAUUAGCAUAAACGGGAAAAUAUCGGACAUUUAAGCACAAUUCCUUGAUUAAUUCUGGCACAAUAAACUAAGUGAAGUCGAGAAAAUAUUGACUCAUCAAUAGUAGAUAUAGGAGAGUGGAUAAAGAUGAAAUUGUAAACCCCAACAACUUCAUUAAUUCAUAGUCUUUUUUUUCCAAUUGAUUCAAUUUGCAUUUGCAUGUUUAAAUUCUGUUUUUGCAUUAACACUAUGAUGGGUUGUCGCGACCCACACAAAUUUGAUUGCAAUUUAGAAAUGCAGUAUAGCUAGGAAGUGACUCCUAGGUCGUCUCUCAAGGACCAAAUGUGGUUCGAGAAUCCGGUCAGACACAAAGUGGGGGGGUUGUGAAAGGAUUGUGAAUGUGGAUGAAUUAAUUUGAAACACAGAUGCAAACAGAGAUGGAAACACGGAAUCAAACACAGAAUAAAAACGGUUGGUCAUUAACUCAAUCAUUAUGUAUCCUAUACCAGAUCAACGACAAGUACGACUCGAACCUCUAAUCCAACACAGCUAACCAACUAAGUGAAGGCUAACCAUGUUUUCAUAAUCGUGAACUAAGCGAACGCAAGACACCUAUUCCAUCCAAUGUGUUCUAUACAGAUUGAUCAACUAAGCGAAGAUGCAACCACCAAUCGGGCAACUAAGCGUAUACCUAUUGCAAGAACACAGUUAGAUUUCAUAGAAUGUCAGGCAGAGCAAUAUAAACACAAGAUCAGUUCAAUAAAUCUCAAGGAAGCAAUGCAAUAUCGCUAAUGACCAACCCGGAUAACCUAAGUUAACAUCACAAUUAAAUUAACACGACUAAACAAAAUAGACAAUAUUAAAGUAAAUGAAGAUGCUAAACCUAACACUGCAGUAGAUAAAUAUCCAGACAUAAUCAGAAUUAUCAAAAUGCCACACUAAAUUAAAAAGAUCAAAAGCAACUCAAGAUACUUUGUGAAAU